CAUGGCGGGGAUCGCCCCCCGUCAGCGCGUUGCGCCCACGGGGGCAACACUG
Molecule: small RNA, 52 nt
Organism: Paracoccus aminophilus JCM 7686
Lineage: Bacteria; Pseudomonadati; Pseudomonadota; Alphaproteobacteria; Rhodobacterales; Paracoccaceae
Rfam family: ffh sRNA
Source: Rfam